UGAUAGUUGGCAGAGAUAAGGCAGCCAAGAGCUGUGGAUGGCCUUUGAGCCAGGAGGUGUGGAUAAGAUGGCCAAGAGCUGUAGAAGAACAUAGCUUUUGAGUCAAGUAGCUGUGACAGCCAAGAGCUGUGAAGAACAUGGCCUUUGAGUAAGGAGCUGUGUGUGUGGCCUUUGAGUCAUGGGAAAAUGUAUGUAUUUUAAUGUGGCCUUUGAGUCACAGUGAAAGGGAACAGGAAAUGAGAAGCAGCACUAGAGCUGAAGGAUCAGAGCCCAGCCUUUCAAAUACCUUUCCAUGUGACUUAGAAAGCAACGAUUAAUAUGCAAAUUUAAGUCUUUGAGCUACUUGAAUAUUAAUUACUUUUGAAAUCUGCUUCUAUUGAGAUGUUUGAACAUUAAGGACAGUGAACAUAACAUAAAUGAGAGGAACCAGGUCUGAGCUGGAGAGCAUUAAUCCACAAAGAUGCAAUUAAAGGUGGAAAACAGGAGCUGUCCGCACAAGGGGAGAGAAGAAAAUGGAAGCAAUGGACUAUAACAUUGAUCUGUUCUAGGACUGGAAUCAGGCUGACAGACAAAAAUCCAAUUUGAAAAACAGCUGGACACAUUUCAGACUCCAGGUUAAGACACAAACUUUAAUCCCUGCGAGGAAUAUAAGUUCUUCAGGAAGUUGGUCCUGAAGGCAGCUGCACAUCCAGUCUGCAAAUGCAAUGGAGCUGCAAAUAAUGGUGAACUCCCCAGAGCUGUUCAGCUUGGGUUUAUUGUGGGUGGGUCUGCUGCUGUCCCUACAGAUACCAGCACAAUUCCUGUGUCCUUCUGCUCCUUACACAGGGCAUUGUGUCACUUGGAGAAGCACUGGGUUUGUGACAGCUCUGUGGAAGGAUGUGCUGCGCUCCUGUUGCCUGGUGCUGUGGAAAAAGAGUUCUGACCCAGAUGUUUGUGUGGCACAGGUUGGAAAUGAAUUAAUAGUGUGCUGCCGUAAUUGCCUCUUUAGGACUUGAAAGUGGGAAGAGAAGAACAGGUUUUGGCUAAGUAUGCUCUUGAUAUGGUGAGGAAGCAGAUAUGUAAGGGGAAGAAUACCUCCUUGCUGUGUAGAACUUUGUCUGGGCAUGUAGCUCUUUAAUUAUAUGUUCUACAUGAUUGUAGGCAAGGAAGUCCUGAAUUCAGCUUUUCAUUUCUUUACACAGUGGUGUUGGGUUUUUUCUUACCUUUUUCCUAGCCAAAAGGGCACAUUUCUUUCAUAGUCAAAUAUUUAGGGUAUUAUAAAUAACUUCUCAGCAAUGCAUUAAAAUGGAACUAUGUCACUAAUGAAUGUUGGCUUGGAAUUACAGCCAGUAUGGUAAUGAAAUAUAGCCCCAUUAGAUUUAAGUAAUUUGCAAAUUGAAGUUGUUAUCAGUUAAUAAUGAUAUUCCUGGCUGAUGUGAGAAAAGAGUCCUGCUACUCCCUUGAAUAGGAAGCAGGACUCGUAAACAGAUGUAAACUAGCAUAAAUGUUAAAUUCUGGAUUAAUUCCAUGCAUUCAUUGCAGUAAAUCCCCGCUAACAGACAGCUGUCAGGACUGCCUAGAAAACUUGACUCCAUUUAUUUUCAAUGUGAUCAUUCUCCUGCUCUUGUUCUACUUCUAGGAAAGCUGUAAGGAAUGAUUUCUGUGUGAAUUCCAACAGUACACCAGUUUAUCACAGUGCUUGUGUUAGUUAUAUAUAUUUGUAAUUAACCACAAGUUAUUCAGGGGCUAAACAGCUGCAUCAGCUUCUAGGUCACUUUUGACUGUCUUAGCUAGAGCCUUUCAAAAGAGCAGGCAAAAUAAAUCAUGUUGGAAAGAAGAUCCAUCCAGGAUAUAUCUGGAGCUUUUAGUAAAUGUGGUUUUGUAGCUGAAGGAGCUGCCAGGAGAGCAAACUGCAUCCCAAACCCCAGUGAACCCAGAGUGUUUCCCUCCCUCUGGAAUGAAUAAUUCUGGUUCAACAUGAGGCCAAUGCUUUGUUGCCACUGGGUUUGCUCUGACACGAGAUUUGAGCAGGGACCUGUGAGACUGCAGAGCAUCUGGGCUCUUUCUUUACCUCCCUUAAUUAAAAUCAGGUCUAUUUGUUAGGAAACAUUGUGGGAAGCCUAGAGGCACCAGGAGGGAGCCUCCAAUAGAGAAACUCACUGCAACCCUCUGAAAGCUCAGAACAAUGGAAAUCUCUGCAGUUGUGGCAAAGCAGAGUAGGAAAGAACAACAAAAUCACCCUGACUGGUCAGUCACUUGCAAAGAGAUGCAAAUAAAACCUGAGUUCUCUUAUUGUGUCACCUGGGGUCCAGUGAAGCAUUUUAUUUUCCUGAUAGAAAUUGAUCCUAUAGAAUGAUUAAAUACACCAGUCAAAUAGCUUCUCAAACAACAAAUAGUUAACUAUUCUUUGUCCCUUUCUGUGAAAAGUUUAGAAACGGUUUUU
Molecule: long non-coding RNA, 2422 nt
Organism: Zonotrichia leucophrys gambelii
Lineage: Eukaryota; Metazoa; Chordata; Aves; Passeriformes; Passerellidae
Exons: 4
Source: RefSeq, a predicted model, not a curated record